CAGACUUCAGCCUUAGAUUGACUCAGGUGAAAUGAGGCGCAUGAGCUCAUGGAACCCCUACCUGCAACAUCAGUUACUGCUGAAAAAGAAUAUGCUCUGGUUUUGAUCUUAGUCACGUGACCCAACGGCAGCUUCCUCGUGUAUGCAACCAGAAGAAUAAAUGCUAUGUUAAAAAUGAGAAUGCUUCAGAAAUAAGUGUCAAGUGAGGCCGGGUACUAUCAUUCCAUAAAGACACAAGUUAAACUGCACCCAGCACUUCCAGAUAACUUCAGAAAAGUGUAGUGAAGCCAGGGAAGACGGCCUAUCUUCUUCAUCUUCUGCAAAAUUCUGGUGACUAACCUGCUGCAAAAACAGUGGUUGUUCUUGGGAAUUAAUGAAUGAUAACUACAACAUAAAAUCACAAAGAUGGUAGGUAUUCUAGUCCCUCUGUUUUGCAAAUGAAUAAUUUUCAUAUAUGUUUACUAUCGCACAGUUAUAGGAACUACAUAAGUAGUUCUUGAGUUGCUUAAGAAUUGUUUUUUUACUGAAACCAUAAUGAAAGUAGCGCUACCAGCUGAC
RNAcentral lists this long non-coding RNA (558 nucleotides) under Fukomys damarensis (Damara mole-rat). RNAcentral describes it as "lncRNA (ENSFDAG00000024360.1)". Lineage: Eukaryota; Metazoa; Chordata; Mammalia; Rodentia; Bathyergidae. The record is from RNAcentral.